Molecule: transfer RNA, 58 nt
Filed under: Populus pamirica
Lineage: Eukaryota; Viridiplantae; Streptophyta; Magnoliopsida; Malpighiales; Salicaceae
Description: tRNA-Phe
Source: RNAcentral
AGGAAGACGGCGCGUCGGAAAUGGUCGGGAUAGCUCAGCAGGUAGAGCAGAGGACUGA